CGAUCACGUUCAGAGUUUGAUCCUGGCUCAGGAUGAACGCUAGCGACAGGCUUAACACAUGCAAGUCGAGGGGCAGCACAGGUAGCAAUACCGGGUGGCGACCGGCGCACGGGUGAGUAACGCGUAUGCAGCUUACCUAUCAGAGGGGGAUAACCCGGCGAAAGUCGGACUAAUACCGCAUGAAGCAGGGGCCCCGCAUGGGGAUAUUUGCUAAAGAUUCAUCGCUGAUAGAUAGGCAUGCGUUCCAUUAGGCAGUUGGCGGGGUAACGGCCCACCAAACCGACGAUGGAUAGGGGUUCUGAGAGGAAGGUCCCCCACAUUGGUACUGAGACACGGACCAA
Molecule: ribosomal RNA, 341 nt
Filed under: uncultured bacterium
Lineage: Bacteria
Description: bacterial SSU rRNA
Rfam family: Bacterial small subunit ribosomal RNA
Source: RNAcentral